AGUAUAUAUUUCCGGUCAAGAAACUAAGGGCGCAAGGCGGAUGCCUUGGCACCAGGAGGCGAAGAAGGACGUGACAAGCAACGAAAACCUCGAAUAGGAGCAAAUAUCCAGUAACUCGGGGGAAUCCGAAUGGGGAAACCUACUAGACACACUCUAGUAUUCAUACGUAAAUACAUAGCGUAUGGAGGCGAAUGUUCUGAACUGAAACAUCUAAGUAGGAACAAGAAAAGAAAGAAAACUCGAUUCUCCAAGUAGCGGCGAGCGAACAGAGAACAGCCCAUUAAAGUAAGACUAAACUGAUAGACAAAUCUUAU
This 314-nucleotide ribosomal RNA is filed under the name Finegoldia magna. Its description in RNAcentral is "bacterial LSU rRNA". It matches the Rfam family "Bacterial large subunit ribosomal RNA", at positions 1 to 311 of the family's 2925-position model. Lineage: Bacteria; Bacillati; Bacillota; Tissierellia; Tissierellales; Peptoniphilaceae. The record is from RNAcentral.